RNAcentral lists this ribosomal RNA (448 nucleotides) under uncultured bacterium. RNAcentral describes it as "bacterial SSU rRNA". It matches the Rfam family "Bacterial small subunit ribosomal RNA", at positions 330 to 798 of the family's 1533-position model. The record is from RNAcentral.
ACCAGACUCCUACGGGAGGCAGCAGUGAGGAAUAUUGGGCAAUGGAGGCAACUCUGACCCAGCCAUGCCGCGUGAGUGAAGAAGGUUUUCGGAUUGUAAAGCUCUUUCGGAUGUGACGAUGAUGACGGUAGCAUCUAAAGAAGCCCCGGCUAACUACGUGCCAGCAGCCGCGGUAAUACGUAGGGGGCGAGCGUUAUCCGGAUUUACUGGGUGUAAAGGGAGCGUAGACGGCCAUGCAAGCUCGGUGUGAAAGGUGCGGGCACAACCCGCAGACUGCACUGAGAACUGUAUGGCUGGAGUGCCGGAGGGGCAGGCGGAAUUCCUGGUGUAGCGGUGAAAUGCGUAGAUAUCAGGAGGAACACCGGUGGCGAAGGCGGCCUGCUGGACGGCGACUGACGUUGAGGCUCGAAAGCGUGGGGAGCGAACAGGAUUAGAUACCCCAGUACAC